UACGUAGGGUGCGAGCGUUAAUCGGAAUUACUGGGCGUAAAGAGUGCGCAGGUGGCCGCGCAAGUCGAGUGUGAAAUCCCCGAGCUUAACUUGGGAAUUGCGCUCGAAACUACGUGGCUCGAGUGUGGCAGAGGAAGGUGGAAUUCCACGUGUAGCGGUGAAAUGCGUAGAGAUGUGGAGGAACACCGAUGGCGAAGGCAGCCUUCUGGGCCAACACUGACGCUCAUGCACGAAAGCGUGGGGAGCAAACAGG
Molecule: ribosomal RNA, 253 nt
Filed under: uncultured bacterium
Lineage: Bacteria
Description: partial 16S ribosomal RNA
Rfam family: Bacterial small subunit ribosomal RNA
Source: RNAcentral